GGUGGCUCAGUGGUAGAGUGCUUGCUUUGCAUGCAUGAGUCCGUGGGUUCGAUUCCUCAGCACCA
Molecule: transfer RNA, 65 nt
Filed under: Dipodomys ordii (Ord's kangaroo rat)
Lineage: Eukaryota; Metazoa; Chordata; Mammalia; Rodentia; Heteromyidae
Rfam family: tRNA
About the family: Transfer RNA (tRNA) molecules are approximately 80 nucleotides in length.
Source: Rfam by way of RNAcentral